UACCCACGAAAAAAUGGUACC
RNAcentral lists this non-coding RNA (21 nucleotides) under Caenorhabditis elegans. Lineage: Eukaryota; Metazoa; Nematoda; Chromadorea; Rhabditida; Rhabditidae. The record is from RNAcentral.